UAAAAUUCUAAACAGAACGGCCUGAGGUAGAGGGGUUUUAAUCGGAAGGUCCGAGGAAUUCUUCCUCGGGAAUCCGACACUACCCAGUCGUACGGACGGCUGGGUGUCUUUUGAAGAUUUCCCCUCUUUCUCGAA
Molecule: non-coding RNA, 135 nt
Organism: Agrilus planipennis (emerald ash borer)
Lineage: Eukaryota; Metazoa; Arthropoda; Insecta; Coleoptera; Buprestidae
Source: Rfam